UAAUGUAUCUUUGCAAUUUUUUAAACAUGUGGAAAAAGAACUGGGAAAUGUCUUGUGUUACAACUGCUGGUGAAUCACAUUUUUUUCAAAUAUUGUGUUAAUCAUAAUAUUAGGGUACACUACUGUUGUUUCUUAAAGUAUCAGGUGCAGUUAAAUUUACUUUCCUGAUUCUAUAGGGAAAAUACUUUAAAGCAGUUCUUCUCAUUUAGGUAAUUGUUCUUUUCUACAAGUAUUUUUCAAUAGAACAGUGUAAUUGGAAAAAAAAUCAGCUCUUGGUAUCACUGAAUACCAGCAUGUACCAUAUCUCUGCUCCAAAGGAGAACAUUACUAUAAAGGAUGGUGAGUAAGCUGUGAUUUGUUUGUGAAAUUCCUAGAGGGCAAAGCUACAUAAUGCUCUUGAAGCUGCAUGUUGAGGUGUAAUACCAUAUCUUAAUAUAGUUGGCAAAUUGAAAUUUCAAGCCACACAAAAAAAAAUAAAGGGAAGAGAAAGCAAAUAUUUUCCUUGGGAAAUUAUGGAACAUUUAGAGGCAAGUAACAGAUAGGCCAGAGGAAGAAACUUUCCCUUCUUUUCUAAUACAUCACUGUGAGUAAGUGGUUUCCAUUAUUUCUGCCAUGAAUAUUUUAUUGUGGAAGAUAUUUUAAACAUGAUUUUACUUAAAUGUUCAAAUACAGUACUAUGAGUGUGUGGUGGUUGUACCAUGAAAAAUGUGACAAUGUGAGAAAUGGCAUAAUGGAUUUUCAUAUUUGCAUCUUGGUGAUUUCCAGAUUAAAUUAGCUCAUCUGAUAACUAAAAAGAAAUUCUUGCUAACUGUCAAUUCUCAAGCUCUCCUGGAGAUCUCGAUGUCAAGUCUUGUUCUUUCUGGCUCCUACCACUAAAGUUCUGCAAUCAAUAACUUAACAGCUCUUUGCAUGACAAAGGAGCCAGAAGGGGUUCAGCAUAGUUUCCCAGAGCGGUUUUAGCUAUUUAGGGCUAACAGGCAUACAAAGGCAGCAAAAUAUGAAGAUAUGACUCAGAAUUCCUGUUGAAUAAGAUGAUGACAUUUUUACACACAAAACUUGAAAGGCCUCAUCUGAACAAGUUAUAUUGUCUUCAAAGGACAAUAUUUUGUUACUACAUAGCAAUGUAGGAGUGUUUUCCAAAUGUUUGGACCUAGCCAGCCUCUUCUAGAACAAGACAUAUUUUGUGACUCCUAACCCCAACCAUGAGCAGUCAAGUAUGGAGUUUUGAAAUUAGUUGUUCUCGGACAUCAUCAGCCAUGUCAUUGAUACUGUGUGUUGUUUGACAAAGGCCUAGCUCCAGGCCAAUUUUGAUAACGUCUCUUGCACAGAGAAGGGAAUAUAGUUUUGUACAAUGCUAUGUGGCUUACACUGCUAUGCAAUUGGUAGAAGGAUCGAAUGGGCAAAAUGGGAGGAGGAGUGGCACUCUAUGUCAAAAAUGGAAUUACCUCUUUUUGGAUCACUGACCAUUUGGAAAAAAAUGAUCUUGAAUGCUUAUGGAUCAAUGUGCUAACAGAUAAAAGCACAAGAUGGAGUAUUAGUUGGUGUCUGCUACAGACCACCAAAGCAAUGUAGAGAAGAAACUGACUGUCUCCUUACGCAGCUAUCUAUAAUGUGUGCGCAUGGGGGGAACUACGUGAUUAUGGGGUUCUUCAGUUUGAGUGACAUAUGCUGGUAGUCUCAUGCUACAACAUCCUUUGAAUUUCUAAACAGUAUAGAUGACAAUUUCCUAACUCAAAAAGUGUUGCAUCCAACAUGGGUAAAUUCUUUAUUAGAUGUUGCCCUGACAGAUAAAGAGGAACUAAUCACAGAACUAAAAAAUAAUGGUAGCUUAGGUACAAUUGAUCAGGACUUGAUCACAUUUAUAAUGUGCAAGUAGAAUAAAGUCCAGACCAGUAAUAUGUAUAUAAUUGGUGCUUUACUAGGGCCAGUUUCAAAAGAUGAAAACAAUUGUGAACACAAUCAGCUUGGAUGAAGAAUUUAAUCAGAAGAAUGUGAAUGAUAAAUGGAAAUAAUUUAAGAACACGUUAUUCAUAGCCAAAGUAGCCACAAUCAAGGAAGAAGGUUGUACUGUUUAAAAAAAGUCUGUACUGAUUUACAGAAGAAGUGAAAGCAGCUAUACAAUUUAAAAAAAAAUAACAAAUGAAAGAAAGGGGAAGUUUAUAGUGAUGAAUAUAAAUCAGAAGAUGGGAACUGUAGAAAAUUGAUAAGGGAAGCAGAGGGCCACAAGACGAAAUCUGUGGCCAGUGGAAUUGAGGAUAAUAAGGAGCUUUUUAACUAUAUUAGGGAAAAAAUCCUAUUGUAUUGGUCCGUUACUAGAUGGAAGUGGUAGGAUCAUCAGUGAUAAUGUAGAAAAGGCAGAAGUGUUCAAUAAAUAUUUCUCUUCUGCAUUUGGAGAAAAAACAGAUGAUUCGGUUUCCUCACAUGGUGGUGGUGACACUCUUUCCAUUCCUCUAAUAUCUCUGGAGGAUGUUAUAGAGAAGCUACUAAAGUUAAACAUUUUUAGAUAAGCAAUUUCAGAUAACUUGCAUCCCAGAGAUUUAACAGAGCUGGCUGAGAGCUUGCUGGACUGCUAAUGUUGAUUUUCAAUAAGUUUUGGAGCAUUGGGGAAGUUCCAGAGGCUAGAAGGAAGCUGAUGUGCCAAUUUUUAAAAAGGGGAAAUGGGAUUGACCCAGGUAAUUAAAGGCCUAUCAGCCUGACAUCAAUCCCAGGCAAAAUAAUUGACUGUCUGAUAUGGGACUCGAUUAAUACAAAUUAAAGGAGGGCAAUAUAAUUAAUGUAAAACAACGUAGGUUUAUGAAAAAUAGAUUCUGUCAAACUAACUUGGUAUUUUUAAUGAGAUUACAAGUUAGGUUGAUAAAGGCAAUAGUGUUGACACAAUAUACUUAGACUUCUGUAAGGCAUUUGACUUGGUACCACAUGACAUUUUGAUUAAAAUCUAGAAUGAUAUAAAAUUAACAUGGCACAUAUUAACUGGCUAAUUAAAACUGGCUAAGUGGUAGGUCUCAAACUGUAAUUGUAAGCAGGAAAUCAUGUUUGAUAAGGUGUGUUUUCAGUGGGGUCCCACAGGGAUCAGUUCUUUGCCCUACACAAUUUACCAUUUUUAUCACAUGACUUGGAAGAAGACAGAAAAUCACCACAGAUAAAGUUUGCAAAUGACAUAAAAAUUGUGGGAGUGGUAAAUGAAGGAGAAGAAAGGUCACUGUUACAAAGCAGUCUGGAUCACUUUGUAAGCAAUAUGCAUUUUAACAUGGCUAAAUUUAAAUGUAUACAUCUAGGAACAAGGAAUGUAGGCCAUAUUUACAGGAAGAGGGACUCGAUCCUGGAAAGCAGUGACUCUCAGAAAGAUUUGGGAAUCACUGUGAAUAAUCAGCUAAACAUGAGCUCCUAACCUGAAGCUAUGGCCCACAAAACUAAUGUGAUCCUGGGAAGCAUGAACAGGGGAAUCUUGAGGAGAAGAGAUUUGGUGAUGGUGCAACUACUGCUGGAAUACUGUGUCUAGUUCUGGUGUCCACAAUUCAAGAAGGACAUUGAUAUUUUGGAGAGGGUUCAGUGAGGAGUGGUGAGAAUAACUGAAGGAUUAGAAAACAUGCCUUAUAGUGUUAGAUUCAAGGAGCUCAAUCUAUUUAGUUUACCAGAGAGACAGCUAAAGGGUGACUUGAUUACAGUCUUUAAGUAUCUACAUGGGCAACAAAUAUUUAAUAAUGGGCUCUUCAAUCUAACAGAGAAAGGUAUAAUGUGCUCCAGUGGCUGGAAGUUGAAGCUAGAUAAAUUCAGACUGGAAAUAAGGCAUAAAUUUUUAACAGUGAAAGUUAUUUACCAAGAUUCAUGGUGAAUUCUCCAUCACUGACAAUUUUUAAAUCUAACCAGGAUGGGCAGGAAUGGUGCCCCUAGCCUCUAUUUGCCAGAAUCUGGGAAUGAGCGAUGGGGCAUGGAUUACUUGAUGAUUACCUGUUCUGUUCAUUUCCUCUGGGGCACCUGGCACUGGCUACUGUUGGAAGACAGGAUACUGGGCUACAUGGACCUUUGGUCUAACCCAGUAGGGCCAUUCUUACGUUCUUAUGUUCUAAGAGUGGUUGUUUUUCUAAGGGAAUUAUUUUAUUUUAUUUUAUUUUAGGAAAGUUCUAUGGCCUGUGCUAUACAGGAGGUCAGACUAUCUGAUCGCAAUGGUCCCUUCUGGCCUCGUAAUCUAUGAAAUGUUAAAUAACGUGCCCAAAAGGUGUUCCUUGUGACAUUGCCAGUUUAGGGAAUCAAAUUUUGAUUUUUCAAGGCUUCAAGUUUUCUCAAGAAGAAAUAUCCUCAGGCUUAUCUUUAAGUUCCAGAUGUUUUGUUUCAGAAUGUUGCAAUAACUUCAAAGGUUGCAUCAUCCAAGCAGCCAUCAUGUAAGAACAUAUGAUGCUUUAAUUUGGAACCAACCAGUGUUACACCAUAUAUGUCAUCUCAUUUCUUCUUUCUGAGUUUCCAUUUAACAACUUACUACUUUCUUUUUCACAAAUUGAUCCAUCCCUUGGCAAGAACUCAACUCCAGCAAAGACUGAAUGACGUGUAAUGCAGUCAUCUGAGACACAGCAAUGCCCUCAUCUUAGCUGUAUUCUCUGACAACUGGCUAGUGUCCCAGUUCAGUGACAGAUUUUGUAACAGCCUGCAUGCAUGCAUGCAUUUUUGCAUCAUGUAUAUAACAAGUACUUAAUGUAACUUGUACUGUUUUGAAUAAGGUAAUUACCAACUAUACUCACAAUGUUGUAGGAUUAGUACUGUUACAAAAGCAGAGACUCUAGCAGUCUGCUGCACAUUCUCACAACCUGCACUGUUUGACAAUGAAAUGAUUUUCAGGUUACAAAUAUAGUGGCUUUAAUGGGACUUCUCCUUCUUUUCACGGUCACACUGGACAGCACCACCCUUACACAUUCUGUGGGCAUCAUCUUCGACUCAGCCCUCUCUACCACUCCUCAUAUGCAGCCUGUACCUAAAUUUUGUUGGUUCUUCCUGCAUAAUAGCUCUAAAAUCUACGUUUGCUCUCCACCCACACAGCUAAAACUUGAGGCCUUACUCAUCUUGGCCCAGGCCUUCAUCAACUUGCACCUCAACUAUGGCAACAUCCUGGCCCUACUCUUAUCCAUUUAAACACUGUUGCAAAUAUUAUUUUCCAAGGUCAUUGCUUUGACCAUGUCACUUCUCUUUCUACGUUCCCUCCACUGGGUCCCCCCUUUUUCCAUGACAUCAAAUAGAAAUUACUUGUCUUCACUUUCAAGCCUUUAAUGGCCUAUCCCCAACUAUUUGUCAACUUGCUUACAUUAUCAUGAUGUCAGCUCCCACUUCUGCUCACCAAUGGUGAAAGCCUUCAUUGUCCACUUUAAAAAAUUUAAAACAAGCACCUUUGUGCUUUCUCCUUUGCUCUCCUAUGCACUUUGGGGAGCUCCCUAUAAACUUCUACAAAGUCACCUCAUGAUCCUCAUUCAUAUCCCUCUCUUGUCCAUGAUGUCUAAGAAAAACUUGGCAACACUUAGGCAGCUGUUUUGCUGAGACUACUGUCUAUCAUGUUAACUGGUAUUGUCUAAUUGUUUGCUCAUCCUUCCCUUGUCGGUCCUUACCCAUUUUUUUUCUUGUCUUAUACUGGAUUGUAAGUUUUUUGGGGCAGGUCUUUCUGUUAUGUUUUUGCAUACAGAACAGUGCUUAGCACAGUGGGGCUUUGGUCCAUGAUUCCUAUACUGCAAUACAGAGAAUAAGAAUAUGUCUGAUUUAAACUAAACUGUACAGUGUGAUAUUAUCAAUUUAUUGGAGUGUAGGAACCAAUCCUCUACUGGUGUCCAAGGGAUGUUCUUUUCUGUUUGACUUCUCUAAUUAUAUGUCUCAAGAUUAUUAGAAUAAUUGAGGUUUACUGUCUUUAAUAUUGAAGGUGAUGGUGGUGAGUUUUUUCUCAGUUACUUAAAAAAAGGGCUUUGUAUCAAUUGACUUCCCAUUUACUUAGUUCCCAAGUUAGCUUCCAAGAUCUCACAUAUCAUGACGUAUGGCACAACAACUCUAUCCCACACAGUUGAAUUUUUCUGUGAUUUAUUAUGGUACCUUAUAAAGUUAUAGGAAAUAACUCAAAAUUGAUGCUUGUCAUUACAAUACAGAUGUCCCUCUAAUCUGACACAUUUUGCUAGGAAUUUUUGGGUGGUUGUUUUAUUACCUUAAUCCUCCCAACCCUUCCAUUUUGACUUCUUCCAAGGCAAUUUGCUAUUUAGACUCUGAGCUGUCCAGUCAACAUGUGAUUUAUAAACUAUUUGACCUUAGUUACAACAGCAUCCAGUAGCUUCCUUUCCGUUUAAAUUGGUAUCACAUUUUAGUAACGUCUACUUUGGCAGUGUGUAGUGGCAAAUAACUGCAGUUCCCUUGACUACUUUACUAUUGCCUAGUGACUUAUUUUUAUCACGUUGCAAUGAUGCAGAAUAAGAAUGGGUCUUUUCCUUAUUUCGCAAAGUUAAUUUACUAUGUAAGAAGAAGUUGUAACUAUACCAUAUAGAUUUGAACAUUUAAAAUAUAACCCGAAGUAGGCCAAGAGCUUCAGUUUCUGAUAAAGAGUGGGGUGAGGAAUGUACAAUAGACAGUUUUUGUUUUUGUCCCCUGUUUAGUGACUGCAUUUUGAGUUAACUGGAGGAUUAUUUCAGACUACCUAAGGAUAAGCAAAAAAGAGGAAAUAAGGUGAAGCUAAUUAAUUUUUAAGGUUGAUAUUUUUGGAACUCUGUGGUCCCUAGGAUUUUGGUGCUUUUCAAAAGGCUUUAGGCUGUAAAAGCUCUUUCAAAUGAUAGCUUAGGGCUUACUGGAAAUGAAAAAACAAUCCUCUGGGGGUUUCUGAGUGUGAUAAUCACGGAUUAGAAAGGUCACUCAAAUGAGGAUCAUGUAAUGGUCAUAAUUUUUUGAAUUUAUAUAUUCAGCAGUUAUACAUAGAAUAGAUAUCAUUUAAUUACAGUGAGCUAAUUAGUAAUAUAUUUUUGGAUGUUUUAACACUGAGAAAAAAUGUUGCAAAGGGUAGAGGAGGAGAGCACAGAAUGUGUCUGAUUAACUUGGGGUUUACUUUUCAGAAAUUGGUAAUCAACGAUCCCUGCAGAAACUGACAAAGAGGAUACUUUCUGCCUUUGAUAACGGUUAUUACAACUGGUGUAGCCGAUCGCUGAUUCUUAAUGGGACUUGAACAACCUGUUGUAAAGAUUACAACUGUUAACUUCAGGGAAGGAAAUGAACUUAAAAUAAAUACAUUGUGAAAGUAUUGUAUAUAUAAUGGUACGUGAAGCUACUUUUGUGAUUAAUUGAGUUCUUUUAGUAAACCAGAGAACAGAACCGAUUUACUGUUGCCGUGGAAAUUUAAAGGGUAAAUUCUCAGUUAAGUUUCUGUUUUACUCCUUAAAUUAAUGUGAGGUUAAUGCCUAAGAUUUUAUAAGUGUUUAUUCAGAUCUUUAAUUCUAAAGAAUAACUAAUUGUUUUAAAAAGAGCUCAAUCUGGGGAUUCUUCCUUUAUACAGUAAAUUAAAUCCAUCUUGCUCUCCAUUUCUCCUCUUACUAAUUUGAAGCUUUGCUCCAGAACAGAGCCAGCUUUUCUGGUUAUACAAAGCUUAUAGCCACAGAGAAAAUGUAAAAGGAGAAUAAGGAGACAGAGACAGAGAGAACUUCUAGCUGUUUUACUUGAAAAGAAUCUUCAAAUUAUAAUCUGUGCAAACCAAUUCCUUGGGCUGAAAGUUUAUCACUUGAUUUUCCAAAAGAUCAAUGGGUUAUUCACAGUCCCUUCCACAGCACCUAGAUCCAGAGUUUGGGGUCCAGAAAAAGUGUGUCCGUACAACUUUCAUAUUUUUUCCUUUUGAAGACUCUAGAUCAGCUUCACAGUUGGAGGAGGUAGUGCCAUGUGAGCUUCCUUUGACAGCACUAGAGCCAUUCCAAGAUCCAACCAGCUAGCUGCCUGCAGCUUAACCAGCUUCUCUGCUGAGCAGUCAGUGUGACCUUUGACCAAAAGAAGGGGCAGCUCAGUAGCAGGGGUAGUAUGAUGCAGUGGACUGAGACCAGAUAAUCCCAGCUGUGACUGUACCUUCCUCAGUAGUCUUUGUCUAGUUUUUGUUUUUGUCUUUGUUUUUGGAGGAUACAAAUUUCAAAUCUGGUGCCAAAAAUUAGGCACCAAAUUCAAAAUUUUCAGAUUUAGGUGCUUAAAAUUAUACACCUAUAUUUG
Dermochelys coriacea (leatherback sea turtle) is the source of this 8193-nucleotide long non-coding RNA. RefSeq lists it as uncharacterized. NCBI's taxonomy places the organism in Eukaryota, Metazoa, Chordata, Testudines, Dermochelyidae. The transcript is spliced from 2 exons. The record is from RefSeq and is a predicted model, not a curated record.